Molecule: ribosomal RNA, 497 nt
Filed under: uncultured bacterium
Lineage: Bacteria
Description: partial 16S ribosomal RNA
Rfam family: Bacterial small subunit ribosomal RNA
Source: RNAcentral
GAUGAACGCUGGCGGCGUGCCUAAUACAUGCAAGUCGAGCGAACAGAUAAGGAGCUUGCUCCUUUGACGUUAGCGGCGAACGGGUGAGUAACACGUGGGUAACCUACCUAUAAGACUGGGAUAACUUCGGGAAACCGGAGCUAAUACCGGAUAACAUUUGGAACCGCAUGGUUCUAAAGUGAAAGAUGGUUUUGCUAUCACUUAUAGAUGGACCCGCGCCGUAUUAGCUAGUUGGUAAGGUAACGGCUUACCAAGGCGACGAUACGUAGCCGACCUGAGAGGGUGAUCGGCCACACUGGAACUGAGACACGGUCCAGACUCCUACGGGAGGCAGCAGUAGGGAAUCUUCCGCAAUGGGCGAAAGCCUGACGGAGCAACGCCGCGUGAGUGAUGAAGGGUUUCGGCUCGUAAAACUCUGUUAUUAGGGAAGAACAAACGUGUAAGUAACUGUGCACGUCUUGACGGUACCUAAUCAGAAAGCCACGGCUAACUACGUG